AUGGCGGCCGCGGGAGAUCCUCUCCAAGGUCAAGCACAUCCAGGCCAAGCCUGCUGGCCGCCCUCGCGGGUGACUGCCUCCGCGGUGACGACGGCGGCCUCGUCGUCCCCGGAGGCCGCGGCACCCCUCAAGGCCGACCUCCGCCACGUGAGUGAUCUGUCGAUCUCGUCUCUCCAACAGUGUUCCGGAUGCACGCACGAGUUCGACCUGGACAAGCCGCCGGUGCUGCAGGAGGUGGCGGAUUUCUUCAGUGGCCACGGAAUCGAGGACUUCACCUUCAGCAAGGGCAGGCUGGGGAUCCCGAUCAACAUGCAGUUCCCGGGGCCGCAGAUCGACGCCGUCACCAACGACAACAUCGUCAUCAACAUCUUCAACAACCUGAUCUGA
Molecule: ribosomal RNA, 387 nt
Filed under: Triticum aestivum (bread wheat)
Lineage: Eukaryota; Viridiplantae; Streptophyta; Magnoliopsida; Poales; Poaceae
Description: partial small subunit ribosomal RNA
Source: RNAcentral